This 301-nucleotide ribosomal RNA is filed under the name uncultured bacterium. Its description in RNAcentral is "partial 16S ribosomal RNA". It matches the Rfam family "Bacterial small subunit ribosomal RNA", at positions 509 to 807 of the family's 1533-position model. The record is from RNAcentral.
CAGCAGCCGCGGGAAUACGUAGGUGGCAAGCGUUGUCCGGAAUUAUUGGGCGUAAAGGGCUCGCAGGCGGUUUCUUAAGUCUGAUGUGAAAGCCCCCGGCUCAACCGGGGAGGGUCAUUGGAAACUGGGAAACUUGAGUGCAGAAGAGGAGAGUGGAAUUCCACGUGUAGCGGUGAAAUGCGUAGAGAUGUGGAGGAACACCAGUGGCGAAGGCGACUCUCUGGUCUGUAACUGACGCUGGGGAGCGAAAGCGUGGGGAGCGAACAGGAUUAGAUACCCCAGUAGUCCCUGUCUCUUAUAC